This is a long non-coding RNA of Ahaetulla prasina, 305 nucleotides long. RefSeq lists it as uncharacterized. The record is from RefSeq and is a predicted model, not a curated record. Lineage: Eukaryota; Metazoa; Chordata; Lepidosauria; Squamata; Colubridae. The transcript is spliced from 3 exons.
GAAGUCUUAAUCUGUUUGACCUUUUUGGCAGGCAGCUGUGUUUUCUCGGCCAGGACUGAUAGGAGCCGUGAACCCACUGGCUGUAGGCCAGCUCAUUACUCUAGAGUGAGGACGGAGACAGAACAGCUAUAUACACUGAUGUGACAUUCUGCCAAGACAAAGAUGGAUGGAUGGAGAAAAAAAAACUUAGAUGAGAACUGAGAAAAGAUCCUGUGAGAGAAGGCCAUGGAAUUUGCAAAGAGGGACAAAAUGAAUCAGUGCGAGAAAAAACAAAACUGCACCAUUGCAAUGUAGGUCCUGCGGCU